RNAcentral lists this long non-coding RNA (559 nucleotides) under Homo sapiens (human). RNAcentral's name for it is "HSALNT0093024". The record is from RNAcentral. Lineage: Eukaryota; Metazoa; Chordata; Mammalia; Primates; Hominidae.
GAACAGAGGACGAAAGCUUUGCCAGCAUCGAAAUAUCCCAGCCUCCCAGGAUACCAAGACCCUUCCCAGUUCCUCAAGUUAAAAUCCUGGGAGGAAAAUCCAGUCCUGCCACUUCAUCUUGGUUGGAAGUAGAAGUUCCACUACAGUCUUUGAAGUAAAGCUAUGACAUCAUGCCAGUCCAAAUUCUGAAUGUUUCUAAAAAUAUGAGAAAAUUUUCUUAUAUAAUAGAAAUGACUAUAACAGCUAACAAUUAAAAACAAUUCUUUAAUACCUAAUAGCUAGGUCAUAUUUACAUUUUCUUAAUUAUCUCAAAAGUGUUUCAAAAGUUGGUUCAAAUUAGGACCCAAAGUCAACAUGUUGUAUUUGACUGCUGUGUCUCUUACAUUUUUAGAACAGUCUACCUUUACUCCCCUCCAUUUCUUUGUCAUUAAGUCGUUGAAGAAACCAGACUUGUCUUUAGCAUAUCUGCCUUUAGGAUAUGGCUGAUUGCUUCCUCAUGGUGUCAUUUUACUUGUUCCCAUUUCACUUAUUAGAUCUAGACCAAAUUUGUCAAACCCAC